CUCAAGUCCCCCUCCCCUCGCGCGCCCUUCCCUCCCGUUCCGUUAGGAUUUGAACCUGGAGCUCGAGCUCCGCCGACCUGGCAACUGACUCCGUCUGUGCCGCGGGGGAGGUGGCGAUGUCCUCCCCCCUCUCCCUCCGCUGUUAAUGUAAUAUAAAACCCUUUCCACUCACAUUUAUAAAUCCGAAAGGCAAAAGAGCGACCAUGUUUGCUGGAAAGCUGGGCAAGGGAGGAGAGGGGAUGGAUGGGGAGCGGGUACCGUCACGGAGAAUUCUCUUUACGCCCCCAUUCCUUCAAACAGAGUAAUUUAAAGCAAAAAUCAGGAAGGCUCGGAUGAAAUAAAUUCCACAGAGAGGAAAAGCAAAAGACCCGAAGCGCGUCGAGCGAAGCGAAUGGAAAUCGAUAAACAGAUUAAAAAUUCCUUGGAUGGCUAUUGAAAUGAUGUGUCAAACGGUGUGGCACUGGAAAAGCACAGCAAGUCAGGCUGCAUCUGAGGACCAGAAGAGUCGAUUUUUCGGGCAUAAGCCCUUCAUCAGGAA
Long non-coding RNA from Hemiscyllium ocellatum (epaulette shark), 538 nucleotides. RefSeq lists it as uncharacterized. NCBI's taxonomy places the organism in Eukaryota, Metazoa, Chordata, Chondrichthyes, Orectolobiformes, Hemiscylliidae. The record is from RefSeq and is a predicted model, not a curated record. The transcript has 2 exons.